ACCGAGUCAAUGCCAUUAAGGCCGACGGUCCCAAGUCUGCGUUUAAAGUGGUAAAACCCCUUAAUCUUUCUCAUUUUUCACAGGACAAACGACCCUUAGCGUGAGAAGGGUUUCCCUCUUGAGGAAACCCUAGCCGCCAUGGCAAUCCUCAUCUCUCUCCUUGUCAUCUAUGUCGAAUCUAGCAAAGAUGAGGGUCCACCUAGGUUUUACAGUUGUAAGAUUGGUCAAGAAUGGCAAGAGCAUUAAAUGCUCUGCCAUUUCUCACCUAUCACCACCCAAAGAUUCACCCUAAACACGGUAGACAGUGAGGUGGCCCAGAUUCCUAGGAGCUACUCACCAGAUUUAUAGGAGCACUCCACUAUUCCGGAGGUGCCAUUUUUGUUACAUUAUUUUGUGUACAUAUUUGGGGCACGAUGGGGUCCUGUCCCGUCCUUAUGUCUUAGUACUCUAGUAGAGGCUCGUAGAUACGUACGCGUGGGUAGCAGUUGUCUCAUGGAUAUACCAGUGUAUAUUUUUGUAUAUCAUUUUUGUAGCCGUGAGAGCUUAUAUGUAUAUAUAUAUAUCUAUAUAUGUAUGUGUUGCCUUGGAGAUUGUGUAUGUUCGGGUUGGGUAAGAUGAUUAGCAUAAUGAGAGGUGCUCGGUAGUCAGCUCCGGGUACCCGUCAUGGCCCCCUAGUCGGGUCGGGACAGUAGUAGUCAGUCAAAGUCGUAGGCUUGUAUGUUAGCCAUUUUGGCAACUUUUUUAUACUUAAGACUAUUUUUAGUACUUACGUAGUUCAUGAUUUAUUCAAUAAGUUUUUUAGAAGAUCAGCAUGUGUUAGUUUUAUUUCCACAUUCAGGAUGUUUUGAUAUUACAUGUUGAUUCAGCCAGCCAGUUGGUUCGCUUGGUCAAUUAUAGUCAGGCACCGAGUGCCGUGUUACGUCCAGGCCCAGGUUCGGGGUGUGAUAAUCUCGAUUUUCUGUCAUGUGCUCCUUUUUUUUUGCUCUCCAUGAAAAAAUCUCAUUCUUGAAGUUUGAUUUUCCAUAGAAUGAACACCCUCUGUGUUGAUCAUUGUAUAAGCAAGGAAUUCUACCUUUGAUUCUUUCAUGUCGUUGUCUGAUUCAUCAGAUAUGGCCCUUAGUUUUGAAUGGUCUUCUUUCGCUUCGUGUUUUAGCAAGUACUUAUAUAGAUCUACUAUCAACAUGGCACUUAUUUCAUAGGCUAGUCUUAUGGCCAGGACCUUCAGAUCCCAAGAAGGAGAAAGGCUCCUUAGGAUUUUUUUGACGAAAUCUUCGUUUGAGAAUGUCUUGCCAAGUGCUGUGGGAUUCCUGACAAUGGUUAAAAGUCUAUCAAAUACAUCUCUGAUUGAUUCCCUCCUUCUCAUAGCAAAUAGUUUUUAUCUUCUCAUAAGUGUAUUCAAUCUGAUCUGCUUGUCUUUAGUCAUAUCCUCGUAAAUUUGAGUUAGCAGAUCCCAGAUUUCUUUGGCACUCAAGCAUCCUGAGACACUGAUUCUUUCCUAUGCUGCAAUGCAUAAUGUUUAGUGCUCUAUUAUUUAGCUCUAAUAUUACAACAUCUUCAGCCGUGAAUUUCUCCUUAGUCUUGUGUCCUCUAGUUCCAUCAUGCGCGAUCUUUACGGGAAUUAGUGGUCCGUUCAUCGUAAUUAACCAUAACCUGUAGUCCAGAACCUUUAGAUAAGUAUGCAUGUGACAUAUUUCUCACCAUUAAAGAGAGGAAGCUUAGAGAUUGAUUCCCUUCUAUUUUUUCUGGAAGGUUAUGCAUCCAUUCUGAUCUUCUCUUAAUCUUUUAACCUCCGUAGAGAGAACCUCGCUCUGAUACCACUUGUUAGGUUGCACGACCUACUGCCUAUCCUCUGCGUAUCCAUUUCUCCCUUACGUGGAAAUUACCCAGCUCAAAAGGUGAUAAAAAACACGACCUACAGACCUGUAGGAUUCCCCAACAACUUCACUACAACAAUGAGCUAACUGUAAAUUAAGUUACAAACUUUGCAGCCUAAUUCCUACAAUAGCCUUGCUACCUACACUCUGACUAGUAAGCUAUCAUCAAGCUAGACUCUAACUUGAAGUUACAAUGCUUGUAUCUACCUUAAUGCUUCUAUGUGAGCAGAUAAAAAUACAACUCGGUAAACUAACUUAAUACAAGAUAUCUAGACUUGUGAACUGGAGAACAUUGUGCAGUACAAUAGUUCCUUCAAUCCUUCCUCUGGUACUAGGGACGUAACCCUGAAUUCAUGAAUAUUCUUGGAUAUAACUUCUUUGCUUAAUAUUCUGAAUUCUCUCUUUGUGGGUGUGCAAACUUGUUCUUGGAAAGACCUGGGUAUUUAUAACAAUAUGCUCCGCAGGUCAGUGAAUAUAAAACCCUUUCCUAGUCGGUCAAUGACAUGCACGUAGGGUUUGUGUAGUACUUGGAUUCUUACCUUGUUCAGUCUGGUUCUAAUACGUGUAGAGAGCUUACUAAUCCCAACAAAUAUGGCAAGGAAUCUUUCAUACUCUACUGCCAAGUUAUUUCCAUAACUCUGCAAAUCCUAGUUGUUGUAGGACUUGCCCUGGAAUAUGAUCACGUGCUUGUUUCAUCCACCUUGUUCGUCUGCCUCUGAAUCUCUGCACUGUUUGAGAUAGAACUUUUUCAUGUACCUGUUCCACCAAUCUCUUUCAUUUUUCAUCUGCCGUUGAACUACUCUUGAGAUCUUGACUGGAAUAUGUUGACAGAACUGUUUCAUAUAACUAUAAGCUCUGUGUCUGCAACUGGUCUUCUCCCCUUUUUCACCACUCUACCACAUAUCACUUUUUACUCUGAUGUGUCAUUACUCUGUAUUGGAACAUGUUUCCAGACUCAUUUUAUCUGUUUAACCUGAUUCAUGUGCCUUGUCUAAAACCAUUUGGUUGACAAUUUCUUUUAAACCUUGUCUUCUGAUAGCCUGAGUCACCUUCACCUUCUCUUCUCAUGAUCUCCUCGUUUCUAGGUCAUUCAUCCACUGCAUUUGUUGACUCUGAUGGAACAUGUAUUUGGACAAUUCACUCUCUCUCUGAUCUACUUCAUUGCACUUGUCUUUGUAUUGACCCACAUGUUUUUAUUGUAGGCUCAUGUAUAUGCUCCGGUGCAAUGGAAAGGGUCUAUGGACCUAUUCUAACCAUCCUGUGCGACCUUCCUUUUUACACCUUUUACAUUACUGAAGCCUCUGCUUUUUCACAAACAACUGUCUAGCUUUGUUCAAUUGUAACGUGUAUCUUGACCUAAUUAAUUCACUGUGCUUUCUUGCUUGGAACAUUACUGUCAUUUUUCAUCUGCUUUACCGUGUUUGUAUGCUGGUUUUCUUGUUCUAAGUCUUGCUUUGUCAAUCAUCAAAACUUCACAUAUGGCUGUAUGCCAACAAAUUCCCCCUUUUUGAUGAUGACAAACACUAACUGUGUAACCUGUUCUGUCCAUCAUUUAUUCCAGAUUUUCUCAACAUAAACAAAUUUAGCAUGAGUCAAAAAGCAUUAAUGCAUAGUUAAUUAAUCUUCCUCCUUUUGACAUCAUUAAAAAGAUAAUCUCAAAGUGAUUAGGUGAUUUUCAAUAUUAAACCCAUAGCCACUGGGCUAUGGCAAAUGCACAAAAUAAGAACAGUCACUCAUUUUAGUCAAAACAUUUGAGUUGCAUAGAUGAGGCAUGGAUAUGUACGAUAUGUAAUGAUUAGUCAAAAUAUCUUUUUAUUAGUAUCAACGAGUACAAUUUUAGUCCCUUGAUUUCAAUUACAUUCAUCAGAUCAUUUUGACUUAACUGGGAGCUUAGAUGCUAAGAAUUUUUCUUGGGCACAUUCCAGGAGGUCCUAACUAAUGGGUGUUUAGAGGUUUUGUCUACAAGGUUAGUGUCAUUGGCCGAACAAGAGCUCAUCUUGCAUAAUAUAUUCCUCUCAGAAUACCUUCUGGCACUUGUAGCUCAAUAUUCAAAUCAUGCUCCAUUCCUUACCCCAGGAAGAUCCACCAUUUUCUUUAGAUGGUUCUUCUUUGUUUUAUCCUUCCUUAUUUCUCAACGAAGCCUUACGUCUUCAUCACUCAUUUUUCCCAUUAAAUUGACAAUGUCAAUCUAAACCAAUCUUGCAACCUCAACCAAUUCUUUUUCUUGAAGAGUCGUUGCUUUACUCAUUCUUCUCUCACUCUCCCCUAUUUCAGAGAUUUUAACACAUUCCCCUUUUUUAUGUGCUCCAACUAAUUUCCUUUCUUCUUUCACCUGCACUAUAGGUAUAUUCAUUUAUAUAAUCAGAAGAGGUGGUUUAGGGAAAGAUAGCUGGAGAGUAUACAUUAAGAUUGAGUGGUUUUGUGAGUGUAUGGGAAAAAGGUUACUCCGAGAAUGUAGACAUUUUAAAAUUUUUUAUUUGGUUUCAAGGUGAAGUCUUGGUGAGAGUAAGGAAAUUUGUGGCUGGUUUUAAAUAGCCGUGAUAGCAGAACGAAGGUUGUGUGAACUGUCACUUAAAGAGUCUUCUUGGGAAAGGCUAAUAAUUUGACCGUGAUAGGUUUUCAAGAAGGUCAUCAUGACCAAUUUUUCACUUCUCAACACACACUUAAUGACAACUAUAGUUGGCUUCGAUAAUGACAACAGGUUGUUUGAGUUGUUCCAUGAUCUGAUUUGUUAAUUGACUGCAAGAGACAGAAAGUAGACCUAAUAUGUAAAUGGCUAACCAUAUACAAUCUUUAAUAAUAAUUCUAGUUCUGUGACAGUCACUAUGUUCGACUUUAAAGAGAUCAUGAACCUAUUAGGGAAUAGGACAUACAACUAAAUGUACAAGACUGAGUAAAAUAUUUUAAUUGCAUUUAAACUGACAGAGUCAGAGACAUCAUUUCUAGCCAAUUUUAAGGAACAAUGUGUAGCUUUAAUUAUUCUCAAUACUAAUCAUAAUUAUUCCUCUUCACCCUUUUUAGUCACUACUUCAAUAUAAUCAACAAAGAAACUUUUCAGCAUAUUAUUAUUGUUUGUGUAUAUUAUGUAACCUGUUGUAGUCAUCUAAUGUCCUUAUUUGUUGAUGUUCUAGUGAGAAUUUGAUCACUUUAGCACUUCGCUGGAUUAGGUUGAACUACUUGUUCCAGUUGAUUAUCCUUGUUCUAUAUGAUGGAACAAGUUUUUUGAUCUGUUUCAUGGUCACCUAAGUACCUCCCAUUUUGAGUAUGUUCUUCUCUUUUAGGCCGUUGCUCUCCUCUUUUCUCCUCUUCUUCUUAUCACUUAUCUCUGCUCUUUCAUCAUCCUUUAGUAAAUCUCAUCUUUCUUCAAAGUUCUGCAAUUUUUCCCUCUCAUAUUAAGCCCUGUGUGAUUCCUUGAUUUUAUCCUUCCCAUUUCUAUCAUAAGGGUGAACACAAUUUCUGAUUUAUUUCGGCUAUAAUAUCUUAAGAAAUCCUUUGCAUGUAUCGUUGUUUUGCUUGUUUUCUGUCACUCUUCCCUUCAUAGAUGAUCAGAGGUUAGUCUUCCAACCCUUACCUGGCUUGGGUCCCUUUCUUUUACCAUUCUUUGUUGGGUGUCUUUUCUACAUCUUCCAGCUUUAUCCCUCUUAGAAUAAGUUCGACAUCUGCGGUCAGCUUUAGAGCUUCAGCUUGGAAGGCUGCGAUGGUUGAGCCAAGUUAAGCAACCAGUUCCUUCAGUGAGAAAUUUUCCAUAUUCGUUUAAUUUUGGCUCUUAUUUAUACUCCUAGACCCUUUUGUUAGCCUGACAAUUGUCCCAGGAAACUCAGCUCUUUCACUGCUCAUGUUUCAAUACUCCUCACUUAAUGUUACAUCCCGUACUUUUAUAUGUAAAGUUUCGUCGUGAGUUAGUUGACGAAGACUUAAAAGGCGAGGUUGUCGUCAAGGUCAUAAGGAAUUAUUCAUGUUCAUUCUUCAUACAGGAGAGCUUGGUAUCAUGUUUAGUAAGUAUCGGGAAGGUUGGAUGUUAAGCGGAUCGAAGAAAUUAAAUUUUGUUGAAACUUUGGGAAAAUUUGGAAGAAUUCCUGACAGAAAUUUUGGGUCAUAUUGUGAGGGCCAUAUCUCCUAGAAUAUAAGGAGUUACGGAACCCAUAACCAUGCAUUCAUAAGGUCAGCGAGUCGACUUUCCAACGCAACUGACAGAUCUGAAUUUUCAUAUCGACGGUGGGAGUUAUGGGCCGUCGAAGUGUCGACGACCCGUCGAUGCACAUCGACGACCCAUCAGAUUUCAGGCGUUGUAGCUGUUCUAUAUAAGCACCCAUUUCGUGAUUUUUUCAUUCUAACCCACACCAACAGACCCUAAACACUCUCUAAUAUUCAUCUAUCCUCUCCAAGCCUUUCUUUAUCAUCCAAGUAAGAUCCGUGCCCCGAAAACCCGCGCUAGUGAAAGGAAAGUUGCCCCUAGGGUUUCUAUUUGAAGUUGUUGAGUUUAGGAGUGGAUUUGGAGUUUGGUUCUUGGAAUUUCAGCCCCUUUAAGGUAUGAAUACUAUUCUUAUCUUUGCUAUUAAGUUGAUUACCGAGAGUUUUAGUGAUUUAAAGUAAAGAAAAUAUAGUUAUGGAAGCGGUGAGUUAUUUGAAUGAAACUAAGAGUUGGGGUUGUUUUGGGAGACGUUUUAGCAUGGAUUUGAUUAUGUUGUGAUAUGAAAGUAUUGACAUAAGUUGUUUGUGAAGGAAUUCCUUAGUUUAAAAGUAAAGGAAAACAUGAUAUAAAGGACCUAAACUAGUUUGUUGAUGUGAUUGCCUUAAUGGCUGUUUCGAUUGGAAUUUUGGAGAGAUUUCUACUUUUUUAUAUUGUUGUUGUUGUUGUUGAUGAUGAUGAUGAUGUUUUGGGUGUUGUGCCCUGUUUGGGAGUUGGAUAGGAGUAAGAAUUACAGGGGAAGUGCUGCCCGAAUUUCGUUAAGUUUCAUUUGUACUUGGAAUGGGUAGUAAGGGACGUAUAUGGCCUAUUUGCAAUUCGUGUUAUCUUGGUUGUAGUGUUGCAAGCUCGGGAAGUACGCAUCGGACAUUAGGUAGACUCCAAGGUAUGUUAAGGCUAUCCCUUUUAUUCUUUUGGCAUGAUCCUUAUUAUUUGAACGAACAAGUAAGCGAGCGAGUUCCAAAGACUCUACUCUUAGAUGGUACAUGAUUCAUCAUACCCUUGAUUUCUUAUAUCCAUGUUCAUGACUUCAAUAGAUCUUUGCAUUUAGGGUAAUCUUGAGUAUGUCUUUCUUGAGUCUUUUAAGUAUUAUAUAUAUAUAUAUAUAUAUAUACACACACACACAGAUAAACACAGCUAUUUUCUCGUACCGUGCCUAGAUGGCCAGACAUGUCACCGCUAAUGCGGGCUGCAUACGAUUCUACAGCGCCUAGAUGGCCGGACAUGUCACCGCUAAUGCGGGCUGCUUAACGAUAUAUGAACCAAGCCGUACGGUCCACAGCACUAUGAGUUAUAUUAUUUUUACAGAGUGCAUACAUAUCAUAUACCGCAUAAGUAUCUUCAAUCAUACAGAUGCAUUCAGACAGUCAGUUUGUUAUGAGUUUUAGAUCCCUUUUAUGAUUCUUAUAUAUAUAUGUUAUUCUUAUGCCUUACAUACUCGGUACAUUAUCCGUACUGACUCCCCUGUUGUUCGGGGGGCUGCGUUCAUGCCCGCUGGUACUGAUAGACAGGGAGACAAUCCGGCUCAGUAGGACUUCCCCUCAGCCAUAGUUGGCGCGCUUCACUUGAUCUGGAGCUGCGGUUCAUUUUGGUAUGCUGUUUUGAGAUGUAUAUACAUGUAUAUGGGUAUGGCGGGGCCCUGUCCCGUCCUUUCUACAGCUUUCUGUUCCAUUAGAGGUCUAUAGACAGUGGUAUGUAGUUGGUACAUGAUGUAGCAUUGUCGGCUCUCAUUCUUUUGUGUAUAGUAUCUAUAUAGCAGCCUAGUCGGCUUGCACUCUUAUUUUGCAUAUAUAUAUAUAUACAGUUGGAUAUGAAUCACAUUUGGGCCACCUUGUUGUUAUGUGAUAGUUAAGCAGGUAUAUGGGUGUCUUGUCAUUAGAGGUCAGCUACUCGUCAUGACUCAUCGGCUUGGGUCAUGACACUUAACUUUAUUACCAGUGUCAUGAGCUUGUCUCUAGGAAUAUCAUCAAGCCUUCUAAGAUCAAGAGUACCUUCACAGAUAUCUUUCUCAAUGCUAGAGUCUGAAUCUUUAAUGUCUAUGAGAGCUUUGUAAUAUUCUUCAACCAAUUCUUUCUUGGACCCUUUAUCUCAAUGUUGUUGUUAUGUGCUCCUUUUUUUUUUUUUUUUGCUCUCCAUGAAAAAUUCCCAUUCUUUGAGUUUGAUUUUCCGUAGACUGAACACCCUUUGUGUCGAUCAUUAUAAGUAAGGAAUUCUACUUUUGAUUCCUCCAUGUUGCUGUUUGAUAUAUCAGAUAUGGCCCUUAGAUUUGAAUGGUCUUCUUUCGCCUCCUGUGUUAGCAAGUACUUAUAUAGAUCUACUAUCAACAUGGUAUUUAUUUCACAGGCUACUCUUAUGGCCAUGACUUUUAGAUCCCAAGAAGGAGAAAGGCUUCUUAGGUUUUUUUCGACUAAAUCUUGGUUUGAGAAGGUCUUGCCAAGUGUUGUAAGAUUCUGACAAUGUUGGCAAGUCUGUCAAACAUAUCUCUGAUUGAUUCCCUCCUUUUCAUGGCAAAUAGUUUGUAUCUUCUCACAAGCGUAUUCAAUCUGAUUUUCUUGUCUUUAGUCAUAUCCUCGUGAAUUUGAGUUAGUAGAUCCAAAAUUUCUUUGGCACUCAAGCAUCCUGAGACUUGAUAGAACUGAUUCUUUCCUAUGCUGCAAUGUAGAAUAUUUAUUGCUCUAUUGUUUAUCUCUAUUAUUGCAGCAUCUUCAGUCGUGAAUUCCUCCUUAGUCUUGUGUCCUCUAGUUCCAUCAUGCAUGAUCUUCAUGGAAAUUAGUGGUCCGUUCAUCGUAAUUAACUACAACCUGUAGUCCAGAACCUUUAAAUAGGUAUGCAUCUGAUUCUUCCAUGUGACAUAGUGCUCGCCAUUAAACAGAGGAGGCUUAGAGAUCGAUUUCCGUCGGUUUUGUCCUGUAGGUUAUGCAUCUAUUCUGAUCAUCUCUCAAUCUGUUAACCUUUUUAGAGAGAACCUCGCUCUGAUGCCACUUGUUAGGUUGCACGACCUACUACCUAUCCUAUGCGUAUCAUAUUCUCCCUUACGUGGAAAUCACCUGGCUCAAAAGGUGAUAAAAAACAUGACCUACAGACGUGUAUGAUUCCCUAACAACUUCACUACAAUAAUGAGCCCAUUGUAAAUUAAGUUACAAUCUCUCCAACCUAUUUCCUACAACAGCCUUGCUACCCACAGUCUGACUACUAAGCUAUCAUCAAGCUAGACUCUAACUUGAAAUUACAACGCUGGUAUGUACCUUAAUGCUUUUAUGUAAGCAGAUAAAAAUACAACUCGAUAAACUAACCUAAUACAAGACAUCCAGACUUGUGAACUGGAGAACAUUAUAUAGUAAAACAGUUCAUUCAUCCUUCCUCUGGUACAAGGGAUGCAACCCCGAAUUCUUGAAUAUUCUUGGAUAUAACUUCUUCGCUUAAUAUUCUAAAUUCACUACAAGAGAUUAGACUUUUAACAACCACUUUUAAACGACGGUAUAUGAAUCCGGUCGCUAUAAGUAUAUUUGUAACGACUAAAUUCUUCCGGUCGUUGACGUCAAUUUUUAGUUUAACAAUUACGAGAGGAAAAUAUCCGGUCAAUAAAAGUUAGAAUAACCGGUCGUUAUUCAUAACAAUUAAGCGGGAAACGGAAAGCGCUAUAAUUUUCCCAUUAAAUUUCACGGAUCCAAAAUAAUAAACUGCUUUUGUAGAAUUUUCUUUUUGCUACUUUUUAUUCUAUUCAGACUGAGAGCCGCCCCCUCCAAGUCUGCCCUAACACUUACCUCUCAAUCUCGGAUGCCGAGGAUGAAAGCAACACUUGAAGCGCAGGGUCUACAGGCAACACUAGGUUCCAAUCAGCCGUGUAUAUGAUUUAGAGAAUCCAUUUGUACCUCCACUUGGUGAAUCAGAACCAGCAGAAAACACACGGGAGGAACAAUAUUAGCUGAGCUGAAGCAGCAGUAUCUUCAAAUAAAUAGUGUUUAGUCCAUAGUCACUCUGAAUCUUCCUAGCUAUGGCCUAUGGAGGGGAAACAACCUAUGGGGACAUUUAAAGCCAGAGUACUUGGAGAAGGUAGUUAAUGUAAUUUAGGGAAAUAAACUUUCCUGGACCUUGCUAACGGGGGAUGUUUUGUACACCGGGCUGCCUUUUUAGAUUUCUUAUAAGAGAUCUUGAAGUUUGAAGAACCCAUCCAUAGAGAAAGUGUAAAGAAGUAUAAUCAACGGAAAAUGUUGAGGCACGAGAGGAAUGGGUUUCGAGUUUUAGGAGUUGUUUAAAGAUAUUCUCCUUUCAACAUGCUACAAUUCUAGUUUUUCUUUGUCCAAGAGUUAACAAAUAUAAUGUGGUCAUACAAUUUGGAUAAUAUACUUUUGAUAAUGUGAUGCAUCAUUCUUUGUAAUUAACUUUGGAAUUUAUAUGAAUUUGAUCAAUUUGUAAGGUUUCAGAUGUGAGUGUGUGUUAUAGAUUAUUAUAUAUCUUUACCAGAAUAAUCAUACAAAGAUACUGACAAUUAGCAAAGGUGA
Long non-coding RNA from Lycium barbarum (goji berry), 10562 nucleotides. RefSeq lists it as uncharacterized. The record is from RefSeq and is a predicted model, not a curated record. NCBI's taxonomy places the organism in Eukaryota, Viridiplantae, Streptophyta, Magnoliopsida, Solanales, Solanaceae. The transcript is spliced from 6 exons.